GAUGAACGCUGGCGGCGUGCCUAAUACAUGCAAGUCGAGCGAACAGACGAGGAGCUUGCUCCUCUGACGUUAGCGGCGGACGGGUGAGUAACACGUGGAUAACCUACCUAUAAGACUGGGAUAACUUCGGGAAACCGGAGCUAAUACCGGAUAACAUGUUGAACCGCAUGGUUUAACAGUGAAAGACGGUCUUGCUGUCACUUAUAGAUGGAUCCGCGCCGCAUUAGCUAGUUGGUAAGGUAACGGCUUACCAAGGCAACGAUGCGUAGCCGACCUGAGAGGGUGAUCGGCCACACUGGAACUGAGACACGGUCCAGACUCCUACGGGAGGCAGCAGUAGGGAAUCUUCCGCAAUGGGCGAAAGCCUGACGGAGCAACGCCGCGUGAGUGAAGAAGGUCUUCGGAUCGUAAAACUCUGUUAUUAGGGAAGAACAAAUGUGUAAGUAACUAUGUACGUCUUGACGGUACCUAAUCAGAAAGCCACGGCUAACUACGUG
RNAcentral lists this ribosomal RNA (497 nucleotides) under uncultured bacterium. RNAcentral's name for it is "partial 16S ribosomal RNA". It matches the Rfam family "Bacterial small subunit ribosomal RNA", at positions 28 to 507 of the family's 1533-position model. The record is from RNAcentral.